UUGAACGCUGGCGGCAUGCCUUACACAUGCAAGUCGAACGGCAGCAUGAUCUAGCUUGCUAGAUUGAUGGCGAGUGGCGAACGGGUGAGUAAUACAUCGGAACGUGCCCUGUAGUGGGGGAUAACUAGUCGAAAGAUUAGCUAAUACCGCAUACGACCUGAGGGUGAAAGUGGGGGACCGCAAGGCCUCAUGCUAUAGGAGCGGCCGAUGUCUGAUUAGCUAGUUGGUGAGGUAAAGGCUCACCAAGGCGACGAUCAGUAGCUGGUCUGAGAGGACGAUCAGCCACACUGGGACUGAGACACGGCCCAGACUCCUACGGGAGGCAGCAGUGGGGAAUUUUGGACAAUGGGCGAAAGCCUGAUCCAGCAAUGCCGCGUGUGUGAAGAAGGCCUUCGGGUUGUAAAGCACUUUUGUCCGGAAAGAAAUGGCUCUGGUUAAUACCUGGGGUCGAUGACGGUACCGGAAGAAUAAGGACCGGCUAACUACGUGC
This 490-nucleotide ribosomal RNA is filed under the name uncultured Ralstonia sp. RNAcentral's name for it is "bacterial SSU rRNA". It matches the Rfam family "Bacterial small subunit ribosomal RNA", at positions 30 to 508 of the family's 1533-position model. Lineage: Bacteria; Pseudomonadati; Pseudomonadota; Betaproteobacteria; Burkholderiales; Burkholderiaceae. The record is from RNAcentral.